UAAGAUCCUCAGUGUUUUCUCCUACAGAUGAAGUGAAGAAUAACGGAGAAUUGUUGGAAAAAUGUAAGUUUUUGACGCCGGUCUGAACAGUCGCGUUUGGGUACGGGAACAGACCAGUCGUUCAGGAACAUUUGAGCGUGGUGGUCUUGGUCCAGUUCCAGGUGACCUCUAGCGUGCUUCGAGUGCAGUGAGAAAGCAAUUUAACUCUGGCUUACUUCCUGCAGUCGGGUCGAUUCAAACAUGACAUAAGAUGCGGGCAGCAUUAUUUUAUAGAGGUGAGCUGCUAAACUGAGCUUGUAGCACUGCAGAAAUGCAACGUGUUGUGGAUAUUUUGGACUGUUAAAUAACAAUAGAAAAGCUGGAUGUUAUAAAUAAAAUGUCUUAAACUUAUUUAUAUACAGUCAUGUGAAAGUAUAAGCACACGCCAUGGAAAUGGUUGGUUUUCUUGCAUGUACUGCCCGUUUCAAAUUUGAAUCAAUGAAUGCAAGCUGUCCAGUCGCUGAGGCAGCGAUGCAACCCCAAACCAUAAUAUUUCCACCACCGUGCUGCCCAGUUGGUAUAAGGUGCUUCUUCAUGUCUGCUGUAACUGGGGCGGCUGUGGAUCAGGUGGUAGAGCGGGUCGUCCACUAAUCGUAGGGUUGGCGGUUCGAUUCCCGGCCCACGUGACUCCACAUGCCGAAGAGUCCUUGGGCAAGACACUGAACCCCAAGUUGCUCCCGAUGGCAAGUUAGCACCUUGCAUGGCAGCUCUGCUACCAUUGGUGUGUGAGUGUCUUUGUGAAUGGGUGAAUGAGAACCAGUGUAAAGCUCUUUGGAUAAAAGCGCUUUAUAAUAUAUAUGUAUAUACUUUAUAUAUAUAUGCAGACCAUUUACCGUGGCCAGACAAGUGUAUCUUUGAUUCGUCUGUCCAGAGCACAUUAUUCCAAAAGGCCUGGUCUUUGCCUGUAUGCUCAUUGGCAAACUAAACGGUCUUACAAAGGCUUUUUCCUGGCACGCUUCCCAUGCAGGUCAAAUUUGUGCAAUCUUGUAGGGUUCUUGGAGACUUCUGUUUGCAUCAGACGGGUUGAAUUUGCUGGGACGGCCAGUCCUGGAGAAAUUGGCAGUCUUCUGAAAUCUGCGCCACUUGUAGAUGAUUAUCCUUACAGCGGAAUGAUGUAUUUCAAAUCAUUUGGAGAUCUUUUUAAAUCCCUUGCCAGACUCAUAGGCAUCCAUAACUUUAAAAAAAAAAAAAAAAAAUUUAUUUAUUUUUUUUAACAGAACUUUUUAGAUCUUGGCAUGAUGACACCACACACCUCAAUACUAAAAGGAACACCAGACACUAUGAGAGGGGUAUAAAUAAGACCGGUUCCGCCUGCACUCCCUAAGCAGGUUCUAAUCACUGGCACUCAAUCUUAAUAUUACGGAUUUGAAGGCGUGAUAAAUGUAGGGGUGUACUUACUUUUUUCCAUGUGACCGGUCUGUUUUUUUGUUCAUUUAAACUGUGAAAAUUUUAUGUGUCAUUUGAUAGUGUAUCAUCUUUAUUAAUAGGCGCGGUUUCAAAGAGGA
Molecule: long non-coding RNA, 1544 nt
Organism: Ictalurus punctatus (channel catfish)
Lineage: Eukaryota; Metazoa; Chordata; Actinopteri; Siluriformes; Ictaluridae
Source: Ensembl